UUGGGCGUAAGCGCGCGCAGGCGGUUUCUUAAGUCUGAUGUGAAAGCCCACGGCUCAACCGUGGAGGGUCAUUGGAAACUGGGGAACUUGAGUGCAGAAGAGAAAAGCGGAAUUCCACGUGUAGCGGUGAAAUGCGUAGAGAUGUGGAGGAACACCAGUGGCGAAGGCGGCUUUUUGGUCUGUAACUGACGCUGAGGCGCGAAAGCGUGGGGAGCAAACAGGAUUAGAUACCCUGGUAGUCCACGCCGUAAACGAUGAGUGCUAAGUGUUAGAGGGUUUCCGCCCUUUAGUGCUGCAGCUAACGCAUUAAGCACUCCGCCUGGGGAGUACGGUCGCAAGACUGAAACUCAAAGGAAUUGAC
Molecule: ribosomal RNA, 361 nt
Filed under: Bacillus sp. (in: firmicutes)
Lineage: Bacteria; Bacillati; Bacillota; Bacilli; Caryophanales; Bacillaceae
Description: bacterial SSU rRNA
Rfam family: Bacterial small subunit ribosomal RNA
Source: RNAcentral